RNAcentral lists this ribosomal RNA (493 nucleotides) under uncultured bacterium. RNAcentral describes it as "bacterial SSU rRNA". It matches the Rfam family "Bacterial small subunit ribosomal RNA", at positions 903 to 1397 of the family's 1533-position model. The record is from RNAcentral.
AAAGGAAUUGACGGGGGCCCGCACAAGCGGUGGAGCAUGUGGUUUAAUUCGACGCAACGCGAAGAACCUUACCAGGGCUUGACAUCCUCUGACAGCUAUAGAGAUAUAGUGUUCUCUUACGAGACAGAGAGACAGGUGGUGCAUGGUUGUCGUCAGCUCGUGUCGUGAGAUGUUGGGUUAAGUCCCGCAACGAGCGCAACCCCUGUACUUAGUUGCCAUCAUUAAGUUGGGCACUCUAAGUAGACUGCCGGUGACAAACCGGAGGAAGGUGGGGAUGACGUCAAAUCAUCAUGCCCUUUAUGUCCUGGGCUACACACGUGCUACAAUGGUCGGUACAAAGGGCAGCGAGACCGUGAGGUGGAGCCAAUCCCAAAAAGCCGAUCACAGUUCGGAUUGUAGGCUGCAACUCGCCUACAUGAAGUCGGAAUCGCUAGUAAUCGCAGGUCAGCAUACUGCGGUGAAUACGUUCCCGGGCCUUGUACACACCGCCCGU